Molecule: ribosomal RNA, 506 nt
Filed under: uncultured bacterium
Lineage: Bacteria
Description: partial 16S ribosomal RNA
Rfam family: Bacterial small subunit ribosomal RNA
Source: RNAcentral
GAUGAACGCUAGCUACAGGCUUAACACAUGCAAGUCGAGGGGCAGCAUGGUCUUAGCUUGCUAAGGCCGAUGGCGACCGGCGCACGGGUGAGUAACACGUAUCCAACCUGCCGUCUACUCUUGGACAGCCUUCUGAAAGGAAGAUUAAUACAAGAUGGCAUCAUGAGUCCGCAUGUUCACAUGAUUAAAGGUAUCCCGGUAGACGAUGGGGAUGCGUUCCAUUAGAUAGUAGGCGGGGUAACGGCCCACCUAGUCUUCGAUGGAUAGGGGUUCUGAGAGGAAGGUCCCCCACAUUGGAACGGAGACACGGUCCAAACUCCUACGGGAGGCAGCAGUGAGGAAUAUUGGUCAAUGGGCGAGAGCCUGAACCAGCCAAGUAGCGUGAAGGAUGACUGCCCUAUGGGUUGUAAACUUCUUUUAUAAAGGAAUAAAGUCGGGUAUGCAUACCCGUUCGCAUGUACUUUAUGAAUAAGGAUCGGCUAACUCCGUGCCAGCCGCCGCGGUAA